This 488-nucleotide ribosomal RNA is filed under the name uncultured Microbacterium sp. Its description in RNAcentral is "bacterial SSU rRNA". It matches the Rfam family "Bacterial small subunit ribosomal RNA", at positions 892 to 1382 of the family's 1533-position model. Lineage: Bacteria; Bacillati; Actinomycetota; Actinomycetes; Micrococcales; Microbacteriaceae. The record is from RNAcentral.
CUCAGAAACUUAAAGGAAUUGACGGGACCCGCACAAGCGGCGGAGCAUGCGGAUUAAUUCGAUGCAACGCGAAGAACCUUACCAAGGCUUGACAUAUAGAGGAAACGUCUGGAAACAGUCGCCCCGCAAGGUCUCUAUACAGGUGGUGCAUGGUUGUCGUCAGCUCGUGUCGUGAGAUGUUGGGUUAAGUCCCGCAACGAGCGCAACCCUCGUCCUAUGUUGCCAGCACGUAAUGGUGGGAACUCAUGGGAUACUGCCGGGGUCAACUCGGAGGAAGGUGGGGAUGACGUCAAAUCAUCAUGCCCCUUAUGUCUUGGGCUUCACGCAUGCUACAAUGGCCGGUACAAAGGGCUGCAAUACCGUAAGGUGGAGCGAAUCCCAAAAAGCCGGUCCCAGUUCGGAUUGAGGUCUGCAACUCGACCUCAUGAAGUCGGAGUCGCUAGUAAUCGCAGAUCAGCAACGCUGCGGUGAAUACGUUCCCGGGUCUU